RNAcentral lists this ribosomal RNA (253 nucleotides) under uncultured bacterium. RNAcentral describes it as "partial 16S ribosomal RNA". It matches the Rfam family "Bacterial small subunit ribosomal RNA", at positions 524 to 776 of the family's 1533-position model. The record is from RNAcentral.
UACGGAGGGGGCUAGCGUUGUUCGGAAUUACUGGGCGUAAAGGGCGCGUAGGCGGCCUGUUAAGUCGAACGUGAAAUCCCUGGGCUCAACCCAGGAACUGCGUCCGAUACUGGCAGGCUUGAAUUCGGGAGAGGGAUGUGGAAUUCCAGGUGUAGCGGUGAAAUGCGUAGAUAUCUGGAGGAACACCGGUGGCGAAGGCGGCAUCCUGGACCGAUAUUGACACUGAGGAGCGAAAGCCAGGGGAGCAAACGGG